ACCUUUGACAUGUACGGAGUGCCAGAGAUGGCUUCGUGACUCGAAAGAGAGCGUAACACAGGUGCUGCAUGGCUGUCGUCAGCUCGUGUCGUGAGAUGUUGGGUUAAGUCCCGCAACGAGCGCAACCCUUGUCAUUAGUUGCUACGAAAGGGCACUCUAAUGAGACUGCCGGUGACAAACCGGAGGAAGGUGGGGAUGACGUCAAAUCAUCAUGCCCCUUAUGACCUGGGCUACACACGUGCUACAAUGGCCGUUACAAUGGGAAGCUACAUCGCGAGGUGAUGCCAAUCCUGUAAAAGCGGCCAUGGUUCGGAUUGCAGGCUGCAACUCGCCUGCAUGAAGAUGGAAUCGCUAGUAAUCACUGAUCAGCAUGCAGUGGUGAAUACGUUCCCGGGUCUU
Molecule: ribosomal RNA, 399 nt
Filed under: uncultured Caldilinea sp.
Lineage: Bacteria; Bacillati; Chloroflexota; Caldilineae; Caldilineales; Caldilineaceae
Description: bacterial SSU rRNA
Rfam family: Bacterial small subunit ribosomal RNA
Source: RNAcentral